Molecule: ribosomal RNA, 117 nt
Filed under: Candidatus Omnitrophota bacterium
Lineage: Bacteria; Pseudomonadati; Candidatus Omnitrophota
Source: RNAcentral
GGAGGUACUCAUACUGGGGAGGCCACACCCGUUCCCAUUCCGAACACGGCCGUUAAGCUCCCCGAGGCCGAUGGUAGUGCGUUCGCAAGGAUGUGUGAGAGUAGGUAGGUACCUCCU